Molecule: ribosomal RNA, 109 nt
Organism: Cercocebus atys (sooty mangabey)
Lineage: Eukaryota; Metazoa; Chordata; Mammalia; Primates; Cercopithecidae
Source: Ensembl
AUCUACCACCAUACCACCCUGAACGCACCUGAUCUCAGAAGCUAAGUGGGGUCAGGCCUGGUUAGUACUUGAAUGGGAGACCCUCUGGAAAUACCAGGUGCUGUAGGCU